Molecule: ribosomal RNA, 445 nt
Filed under: uncultured bacterium
Lineage: Bacteria
Description: SSU rRNA
Rfam family: Bacterial small subunit ribosomal RNA
Source: RNAcentral
AGAACGAACGCUGGCGGCAGGCUUAACACAUGCAAGUCGAGCGCUGUAGCAAUACAGAGCGGCAGACGGGUGAGUAACGCGUGGGAACAUACCCUCCGGCUCGGAAUAACUCAGGGAAACUUGAGCUAAUACCGAAUACGGUCGAGAGGCGAAAGAUUUAUCGCCGGAGGAUUGGCCCGCGUUCGAUUAGCUAGUUGGUGUGGUAAUGGCGCACCAAGGCGACGAUCGAUAGCUGGUCUGAGAGGAUGAUCAGCCACAUUGGGACUGAGACACGGCCCAAACUCCUACGGGAGGCAGCAGUGGGGAAUAUUGGACAAUGGGCGCAAGCCUGAUCCAGCCAUGCCGCGUGAGUGAUGACGGCCUUAGGGUUGUAAAGCUCUUUCGCUAGGGACGAUAAUGACGGUACCUAGACAAGAAGCCCGGCUAACUUCGCGCCAGCAGCCGC